This 112-nucleotide non-coding RNA is filed under the name Synechococcus sp. RNAcentral describes it as "SAM-I sequence". It matches the Rfam family "SAM riboswitch aptamer (S box leader)". Rfam says of the family: The SAM riboswitch is found upstream of a number of genes which code for proteins involved in methionine or cysteine biosynthesis in Gram-positive bacteria. The SAM riboswitch acts at the level of transcription termination control. The predicted structure consists of a complex stem-loop region followed by a single stem loop terminator region. RNAcentral also lists the same sequence under 1 other name. The record is from RNAcentral. Lineage: Bacteria; Bacillati; Cyanobacteriota; Cyanophyceae; Synechococcales; Synechococcaceae.
UCUUUAUCCAGAGCAGACUGAGGGACCAGGCCCAAUGAAGCUGCGGCAACCCGGCGGAAGCCUCCGCUACGGUGCCAAUUCCUGCGGUUAGUCAGUAACCGAAAGAUAAAGG